This 446-nucleotide ribosomal RNA is filed under the name uncultured bacterium. RNAcentral's name for it is "partial 16S ribosomal RNA". It matches the Rfam family "Bacterial small subunit ribosomal RNA", at positions 329 to 792 of the family's 1533-position model. The record is from RNAcentral.
GUCCAGACUCCUACGGGAGGCAGCAGUGGGGAAUAUUGCACAAUGGGGGAAACCCUGAUGCAGCGACGCCGCGUGAGUGAAGAAGUAUUUCGGUAUGUAAAGCUCUAUCAGCAGGAAAGAAAAUGACGGUACCUGACUAAGAAGCCCCGGCUAACUACGUGCCAGCAGCCGCGGUAAUACGUAGGGGGCAAGCGUUAUCCGGAUUUACUGGGUGUAAAGGGAGCGUAGACGGCAUGGCAAGUCAGAUGUGAAAGCCCGGGGCUCAACCCCGGGACUGCAUUUGAAACUGUCAGGCUGGAGUGCAGGAGAGGUAAGUGGAAUUCCUAGUGUAGCGGUGAAAUGCGUAGAUAUUAGGAGGAACACCAGUGGCGAAGGCGGCUUACUGGACUGUAACUGACGUUGAGGCUCGAAAGCGUGGGGAGCAAACAGGAUUAGAUACCCGCGUA